UACGGAGGAUGCAAGCGUUAUCCGGAUUCAUUGGGUUUAAAGGGUGCGUAGGCGGGGCGGUAAGUCAGUGGUGAAAGCCUGCAGCUUAACUGUAGAAUUGCCAUUGAUACUGUCGCUCUUGAAUGCGGUUGAGGCAGGCGGAAUGUGUAAUGUAGCGGUGAAAUGCUUAGAUAUUACACAGAACACCGAUUGCGUAGGCAGCUUGCUAAACCGUGAUUGACGCUGAGGCAAGAAAGCGUGGGGAGCAAACAGG
RNAcentral lists this ribosomal RNA (253 nucleotides) under uncultured bacterium. Its description in RNAcentral is "partial 16S ribosomal RNA". It matches the Rfam family "Bacterial small subunit ribosomal RNA", at positions 524 to 776 of the family's 1533-position model. The record is from RNAcentral.